This 726-nucleotide long non-coding RNA is filed under the name Coturnix japonica (Japanese quail). Its description in RNAcentral is "lncRNA (ENSCJPG00005012151.1)". The record is from RNAcentral. Lineage: Eukaryota; Metazoa; Chordata; Aves; Galliformes; Phasianidae.
GCAAGAAGUUGUCUUCUGUUCACUGUUGUUGUUGUUUCCUUUUAGGCUCUGAUAGAGUUGUUCAUGGAUUACUGUGAUCAUGUGUUUGAGGCCACUCUGGAGUGAUGUGUUGCUCCAAAAUUUCUGGGGCACUUGAUGCUUUUUUGAUGCUUGAGGAAGGUUUCCUUGGCUCCCCUCUGCUGUGUAUCUUCAUGUGAUAAUGAACGUGUAUGAACAUCUCCCAUCUGGCUUCUUCCACUUUCCAAAGCCUCCAUUUGCUUUGAUACCCACAUUCAUUUCAUUCUCCUUCAGUCCCUGAGGAGGAGUUCCAGAGUGGGAUGUGGACCUCAGUACACCACCACACAUGAGGGUCAGUCACCCUCCAUGAAGGCCUUCAGCAAUAUCCAAAGGACAAGUUGCUUAAGGCCUGUCUUCAAUGGAUAGACAUAUCUUUAAAAGCAUGCUGUCCUGGACCCUCAGGAAUCCCUCUUCCCUUUAAGUCCUGCUAACUCAAGUGCAGUUGAGUGUCACUCAAGAUGGAGCCUAUGAGGUGCUGAUAGGCAGCUGCCCCACUGCUCGAGGACUGCUAGAAAUCACAGCUUGAGCUUCAGGGAAACAACAAGCAGACUGACUUGAUCUCCCAGACACUUGUCUGACCAGAAAUACUUGAAAAAAUAAUUAUUAAUAAUAAUUGCAUAGUAAGCAUGUUGAUUACAGAACUUUCUCUUUCCUCAGUGGAAGGCCUAC